GUGGGGAAUUUUGGACAAUGGGCGCAAGCCUGAUCCAGCAAUGCCGCGUGCAGGAAGAAGGCCUUCGGGUUGUAAACUGCUUUUGUACGGAACGAAACGGUCCGGGUUAAUACCCUGGGCUAAUGACGGUACCGUAAGAAUAAGCACCGGCUAACUACGUGCCAGCAGCCGCGGUAAUACGUAGGGUGCAAGCGUUAAUCGGAAUUACUGGGCGUAAAGCGUGCGCAGGCGGUUUUGUAAGACAGGCGUGAAAUCCCCGGGCUCAACCUGGGAAUUGCGCUUGUGACUGGAAGGCUGGAGUGCGGCAGAGGGGGAUGGAAUUCCGCGUGUAGCAGUGAAAUGCGUAGAUAUGCGGAGGAACACCGAUGGCGAAGGCAAUCCCCUGGGCCUGCACUGACGCUCAUGCACGAAAGCGUGGGGAGCAAACAGGAUUAGAAACCCGUGUAGUCC
RNAcentral lists this ribosomal RNA (450 nucleotides) under uncultured bacterium. Its description in RNAcentral is "partial 16S ribosomal RNA". It matches the Rfam family "Bacterial small subunit ribosomal RNA", at positions 354 to 796 of the family's 1533-position model. The record is from RNAcentral.